AAAAAAUCUCCCUUUUGCCCUCAUGAGACUCUGCACAACACCAAAGUCACCCUCUUUUUAUAGUCCCUUCGAAAUCAUGUAUGACCAAACUUUUGUCUUGGGGCCUCCAUCUUACCAGACACUGAGCCACUCAGGAAUUACCUCCCUUUCUUAAUCCAGACACGGUCUUUCAUUCAUGAAGCAGCAGAUGAGGCCAUGCCCCUUCCUGUCAACACCUCUUUGUCCUCUCAACAUAACUGUCUUGCAGGCACAGACGUGUUUAUCUGCCAACCCGACCGUCACAACAACCUACAGCCGAAGUGGACAGGCCCCUACACUGUGAUACUCAGCACACCAACUGCAGUGAGAGUCCAAGGACUCCCCUGCUGGAUCCAUCGUACCAGGGUCAAUCUCACCCCCAAGGCUACUCCUUCCUCCAAAACAUUAACAGCGGGCAACACCCUCAGAGUCCCUGUAUACAAUAACGUAAACAACAACAACAACAAAAAGAUCCUUAAAGGUAGGAGGAAGCCAAAGAUGGCAACGGGACGAAUGACUUCUGCAACGGAUCAUCGAAUAUUAUGGUCCUGCCACUUGGGCUGAGGAUGGUUCAUGGGGUUAUCACCUCCCAUAUAUAUUCGAAAUAGAAUAAUUAGACUACAGGCGAUUCUAGAGAUAAUCACUAACCAAACUGCUUCAGCCCUGGAAACGCUUGCGCAACAACAAAACCAAAUACCCCCGGCAAUUUAUCAAAACAGGCCAGCACCAGACUACUUAUCAGCAGAAGAAGGUGGGGUCUGUGGGCCAGUCCCAAAGCGCAAGACCACCUGCGCCAGCAGCGUGCGUCAGCAGGAUAGCAGAAGCAGGAAGAGAGCUGGCUGGAAGACACGUACCCCCUGAAGACCGAGAGAGAGGCCGUCCGGGUACUGCGUAGCAGUUACAUCAGACUGAGACACGUCCUGUUUACAGGAGACUAUAAAACCCCUGCCCCAUCCUCAUUUGGUGCUGACGCCGUUUUAGGCCUCAGCCUGUCUGCACCCAGGCGCUCAUUAAAACAGCGUGUUGCUCCAC
Molecule: long non-coding RNA, 1050 nt
Filed under: Homo sapiens (human)
Lineage: Eukaryota; Metazoa; Chordata; Mammalia; Primates; Hominidae
Description: HSALNT0115115
Source: RNAcentral